Molecule: ribosomal RNA, 423 nt
Filed under: uncultured bacterium
Lineage: Bacteria
Description: partial 16S ribosomal RNA
Rfam family: Bacterial small subunit ribosomal RNA
Source: RNAcentral
AAUAUUGGACAAUGGGGGCAACCCUGAUCUAGCCAUGCCGUGUGUGUGAUGUAGGUCUUCGGUUUGUAUUGCUCUUUAAGUUGUGAGGAAGGGCUUUUGGUUAAUUCUCUGACUUUUUGAUGUUACGAAAUCAUCAGGCUUCGGCUCACUCUGUGCCAUCCGCCGCGGUAAUACAGAGGGUGCAAGCGUUAAUCGGAAUUACUGGGCGUAAAGCGCGCGUAGGUGGUUCAGUAAGAUGGGUGUGAAAUCGCCGGGCUUAACCUGGAAACUGCUUUCAUAACUGCUGAGCUAGAGUACGGUAGAGGGUAGUGGAAUUUCCUGUGUAGCGGUGAAAUGCGUAGAUAUAGGAAGGAACACCAGUGGCGAAGGCGACUACCUGGACUGAUACUGACACUGAGGUGCGAAAGCGUGGGGAGCAAACAG